GACGAACGCUGGCGGCGUGCCUAAUACAUGCAAGUCGAGCGCUGAAGGUUGGUACUUGUACCAACUGGAUGAGCAGCGAACGGGUGAGUAACGCGUGGGGCAUCUGCCUUUGAUCGGGGGACAACAUUUGGAAACGAAUGCUAAUACCGCAUAAAAACUUUAAACACAAGUUUUAAGUUUGAAAGAUGCAAUUGCAUCACUCAAAGAUGAUCCCGCGUUGUAUUAGCUAGUUGGUGAGGUAAAGGCUCACCAAGGCGAUGAUACAUAGCCGACCUGAGAGGGUGAUCGGCCACAUUGGGGCUGGGACACGGCCCAAACUCCUACGGGAGGCAGCAGUAGGGAAUCUUCGGCAAUGGGCGGAAGUCUGACCGAGCAACGCCGCGUGAGGGAAGAAGGUUUUCGGGUCGGAAAACUCUGUUGGUAGGGAAGAACGUUGGUGAGAGUGGAAAGCUCAUCAAGUGACGGUAACUACACAGAAAGGGACGGCUAACUACGUG
This 497-nucleotide ribosomal RNA is filed under the name uncultured bacterium. Its description in RNAcentral is "partial 16S ribosomal RNA". It matches the Rfam family "Bacterial small subunit ribosomal RNA", at positions 28 to 507 of the family's 1533-position model. The record is from RNAcentral.